AAGAUUAACCUAUAGACUUCUAAUCUAUUAAUAAUGUUUUUUCAUUUAAUCUUU
Molecule: transfer RNA, 54 nt
Filed under: Ixodes kuntzi
Lineage: Eukaryota; Metazoa; Arthropoda; Arachnida; Ixodida; Ixodidae
Description: tRNA-Ser
Source: RNAcentral